Marmota flaviventris (yellow-bellied marmot) is the source of this 400-nucleotide non-coding RNA. NCBI's taxonomy places the organism in Eukaryota, Metazoa, Chordata, Mammalia, Rodentia, Sciuridae. The record is from RefSeq and is a predicted model, not a curated record.
ACCAUCCACCAAGAAGUCUGAAGAGGUCACCUGAUCUUGGACUCUCAGUCUCCAAAACUGAAACCGAAGGAGGGCAGCUCAGGACACCGGGGAAGAGGAAGGUUAAGAAAUGACAAGUUUCAUGAGUAAUAUUUCAGCAGGAAGUGAAAAUCUCAACAGAUGUUAUCAAUAUCAGGGCUGCUGCAGGCUGGGGGGGUCCCUGCCAAUGUCUGGCCCUACCCAAGCCUCCACUUCCCGGGUACACCAGCUGCCUCCCGGUUGCUGAGCCUUCAAGCCCCUUCCUCACCCUGCCUGGGUGCCAGCACAGCACACCCAGCACUGCAGGUUGUCGGGAACUUCAGGGUCAGCUGCUGGCCCACGCAGAUGCCCACCAACCACCAGCUGAAUGGAAGUGGUUACA